RNAcentral lists this transfer RNA (96 nucleotides) under Planotetraspora thailandica. RNAcentral's name for it is "tRNA-Trp". The record is from RNAcentral. Lineage: Bacteria; Bacillati; Actinomycetota; Actinomycetes; Streptosporangiales; Streptosporangiaceae.
UUCCAGGGGGAAUUGCUGGCCUGGCUCUUCCUCCAUCCAGGGGAGGAAUAUCCGCAGGUGGAGCUGGCGAGGAGGUUCAAGGUCUCCCCUGCGAGC